This is a long non-coding RNA of Bubalus bubalis (water buffalo), 669 nucleotides long. RefSeq lists it as uncharacterized. The record is from RefSeq and is a predicted model, not a curated record. The transcript is spliced from 3 exons. Lineage: Eukaryota; Metazoa; Chordata; Mammalia; Artiodactyla; Bovidae.
AUGAUUUGUUACGUGGAUCUCGAGACCUGAGAAACCUUGUCAAAUAAAGAUUCUCUAACAAUCUGUUGCGGCUGCUGCAGACCUGGGAUUUGGUCCUUUAACAAGAUGCAGGUGAUGCCAAUGGGCCUACACGUGGUCCACGAGGAGCCAGGGCAGUGGCUUCAGCUCCCAUCCCGCCUCCAGCGACCUGCAGUUGCACAAACCAGUGUGGCAUCUGCAGCCGCCCCGGCACUCCAGCCUCCGCAGGAGAGUCAGUGCAGCCAGGCGGCGAGGACAGGACAGGAUCCCCGAGGACAGGCCAGGACAGCCUCACACAGGGACGGUGACCAGCCAGACGGCCAAGCCUGCCGGGGAAGGUUGCACGGUGGUUCUGCGAGCCCUAUGCCUCCUGGACCAACCUGAGAAGGCCAAAUGUGUGCCCGUAACCAGUCAAGUGGGAUCCACUUCUGUUUAGCCUGCCUUUAGUUUCUCUCGAUAAAGCUUUCUCGCUUUUCUGCCUGCCUUCGUUUUGAGUCUGCUAAAGAUAUCACCAUCUUCACAACAUCAUUCUGCCUGGUUGACUACCAGAGGAGCUAGAGCUGGACUUUCACAAUUCAGCUGGGGAUCAUUUACCAAGCAUUAAAUUAAAAAGCCUAUGAAAGCAGUUUUAUCAAAAUAAACUAGAUAAAA